Molecule: ribosomal RNA, 253 nt
Filed under: uncultured bacterium
Lineage: Bacteria
Description: partial 16S ribosomal RNA
Rfam family: Bacterial small subunit ribosomal RNA
Source: RNAcentral
UACGGGGGGGGCAAGCGUUGUUCGGAAUUACUGGGCGUAAAGGGCUCGUAGGCGGCCAAUUAAGUCGGACGUGAAAUCCCUCGGCUUAACCGGGGAACUGCGUCUGAUACUGGAUGGCUUGAGAUUGGGAGAGGGAUGCGGAAUUCCAGGUGUAGCGGUGAAAUGCGUAGAUAUCUGGAGGAACACCGGUGGCGAAGGCGGCAUCCUGGACCGACACUGACGCUGAGGAGCGAAAGCCAGGGGAGCAAACGGG